ACUAUACUAUUUGGCAACAAACAUCUUUUUUCUGGUAAUUUUGGGGUCUUUUCUGAAUUAACAUCGUGCUGACACGUACACCCCUAUUUCUGCUAGCUUUUUCUUGUGUGCAGUUUCGGUGCUGUCUGAGAAUUUCAGGGGGCUCUCACCUUCUGCGUCGUUCGUCCGUUCUGUUUUCUCCCGGUUAGCUGUUGGAUUAUUUUGGUGCGUUGUUGUGUAGCAUUAGCUCCGAGGCGGUUGUGGGCGAGCUCGCCUGGUCCCGAUACGCCGCUUUUCUUUUUGUCUUCCUACACCUCUAGAACGUCCGAUUUGCUCUUCAGAUUUUCUCUUCUCCUUCCAUCCGUUUUGACCAGAAAUGGAGAUGAUCCACGAAUCCUCUACAGUAGGUUGAUUCAGAUCUUCUUCACCGUUUUCCUCCAUAUCCAUCGCCUCUCCCUGCUUAACUUCUUCCCUAACGGAUUCCCCUCUUUAUGUGACUUUUUCUUUGAUGAUUUGAUAUCUAUGGCUUUUCUCUUAGCCUUUUUUUCUUGUGGUUGUUUGAUCUGGUGGCCUGGGGAUUUCGUGUGGUGAUCGUUUUGACAAGUUCGUGUGGUGAUUUACCCGCAGGACGAGCCAGAGAAGGUGGACACCGGCGAGCGGCGGGCGGCGGGUGGCGCUGCAGCGGCCGAGCCUGCUUCUCCUUGAGCGCCGCGCCGCGAUAGCGACGGCCAGAGUGCCGGACCGCGCGGAAAGGGGAGGCGCCGAGGGCCGAGCGGAGCAGGAGCUGGCAGUAGAGGAGAGGGCGGCCGGCGGCGUGGCAGCGGCGGGGGCCGAGCCUCCAUCGAAGUCGAACAAUGCGGCGGCCGUCUCGAGCUCUGCCGCUCUGGGCGUCUCCGCCUCUGGCUGGCCUCGCCCUCGCGGCUGGUGCUGUGGGGAGCCUCAGAGGCACGUCACACGGCUUGCCUUCUCGACUUCCUCUUGGCGUGUUUCUCUCCGCCGCCCAUGCUCGACGGCAUCAGGAAGCGUGCCGUCCACUUCCUCAGUCGCGCUUAGCUUUGGUAAGUGUGCAUCGGCAUGCCAAUGGCGAAACGCAAACGGUUUGCUGUGAGAUUCAGAAGGGCGCUCGAUGGCCAGAUUGCAAGGAAGACCCUCCAUGGCAGUGUCACGCUCAACAGAAAGGCACGGCCGUCUCACGGGUGUCGCUUUGAUCCUGUUCGUUCCUGCUUCUUUGCCGUCCAGUGUGAACUCUAAUAUCAUCCAUAUCAUCAUGCUGCCAUUUGACAUGAUUUAGUUCGGUGCUUACUUUCAUGACUCUGACGUCGUGGCAAUGUUCAUUGUUGCUUAGCAGAUUUAUUAUCGGUCUAUGCUUAAUCACAUAUUUUGCUAAAUUAUUAAAAAAGUGGAGGGUCAUCUCUUUUGUACUAAAUUCUUAUGUAUUGCUAAUAAGCUAUCUUAAAAAUUAAUGAACAAUGCCUCCUUCACUGUGACAAGCUCUGAAACCCAGCAAAACUGACGCUCCACUUUUUUAAUAAUUCAUAUAUAGUAAAAGUAUUCACAAAAAAAGUAGUAAAAGUAAAUGUCUGCUUAUUUCAUUACUUCAAGAUGUUUCACCAACUGUCGUUGUUCUAGGAGUGUGAGUCCAUCCAUAUUUUUUUUCUUCUUAAAGCUUGUGUACUUUUCAAGUUGAAUUUAAACUGGUUGCGGCACAUAUUAUUUUGCUACUAAAGCAGAACUUCCUAUUUAGUUAUUUCAGGCAACUCCUUAUUAUAAUAAUUGACAUCUAACAUUGAUGUUUGUUAACCUGCUAACAUGAGAUUUUUAUGAAUUUGACCUGCUUACAUGAAGCUUAAGUGAGGUAAAAUUAGGCAGCAGCUGUCAGCAACUUGACCUGCAGCCAACAGUGUUCUGUUCUUCUCGGUCAAUGUACUAAUAAGUGUUGUGUCCGAUUGAAAGCACAAACUUCACAUCUGCUGGGAGGUAUAAGUUGUAGCUUCUCUUACUACAACACUUCACAUCUGGUGGGUUGUAUGAGUUGCAGUUGCUCUUAGCACAACAAUGCAACAUGCUCUAUUUAGCAUUUUUUUCUCUAGAAGGAUCAGUGGUGCAUCUGUGAAACUACUAUUUGCAAAUGUCAGUGAUUUUUUGCAGCGAAAGGACAUGAGUGUGUUAUUCUUAGCGAUAAUUGGUAUUUGGCAGGGAUUCCCUGCUUAAAGCUCAGUCUGUUAAAAUAAGGGAUUCAAAUUUGUACCAGGUUAUGAUUCCUCUUAAUACCUAUCUGUUAGAGAUUGUGCGAUGGAAUCAGUGUUGGGAAUGGUGCUGAAUUUUUCCAUUGAUGUCAGUGGAGGCAAAUUACAAAAAACAAAAAUAUCUUUUUCUCCUGCGACAGUGGGUCUAUGAAAUUCCCUUUGUUUAUCACCUAAAAAUUAUUGUGUGAUUCUUAAAUUAAGUGGAGCUUACUUCUUAUUAUUUACUUAUUACUUCAUCACGUGUUACUUUAUUUUGUGUGUGUUCCCCGUGAAAAUUUUGGUCGGCAUGGCACAUGAUGAAUGCUUUUGUCAUAUUUAUCUUCUUAUUUGCUAGCUUGAACUUUUUUUUCUUCCAUGCAUUAUUCCUUUACAUUUGUCUUCAUGUACAGGAUGAAAAAGUGCGACCGUUAUUUCUCCAUGCACUCUCCAUUGCUACCAUUCCAAAUGAUUUGAUAGCAGUAAUUGGUGGUGCCUGUCAAUGAGUUGAGAUCAAUGUUCUUCCUUUUUUCUGGAGCACUUCUUUUUGUAGGAUAUAUCUCCAUGGAUUUUUAUGCGAGUUCCUUUGGAAUUUGUAGUGAAGGCAUACUUAAUCAAUCUGAUUAGAAGUUUUGUCGCGACUAGCGCAGAUUUAUUUUGGUGAACCUACCGAAUUAUAUGAUCUAACUUUUUUAGUAACUACUCAAGUGAUCAUUUUACUAAUUAUGUGUAGUCAUUUACUUGCGAUACUAUUUUUCCAUCAGGAUCUUAUGAAGAAGGGUCCAUUUAAUGGCGCAGAGGUUGAAGCAUCAGGGCGCAAUGGACACAAGCAGGAAAUUCAGAUAAAGCCAAAGAUAGGGGCAAUCAUUGUACCAUUGUAGAGAUGUUUCAUUGCUUCGGUUUUGCUUAAAGGUAUCCUCUAAUUGCUGACCAGUUUAUUAGUUAGUACAUUAAAAAACUAAUUAAUAUAUGUAUAAUAGUCUUCUUGGUUAUAGAGUAUCUUGGUUCUGCCCCUUUGUCCAGUUAGCAUAUACAUUGUUUAGAGCAUGUCUUCUUAGAUCUUACGUACUUGAACUACCAGAUAAGAUAUGCAUUUUUUUUGUUUGUUUCUCAAUGUAUAAAGUUCAUUCAGAAGCAACGUACCUCUCUAUUUAAGCUCCAAGACCUGUACAAAAUUCUGUGAUAAAUGGUCAGUGUUAGGCUAAAGGAAAUUAAAUAUAUGUUCUUCCGAAUGAAUUACUCUCUAUGUAUUUUAUAACUUCUUUGUAUACUAUCCGUUAUUCUCUCACUAUAUACCAUUGUGUUGUAUAUAACUGUCUACACUUAGCGAAUUGGUUUGAAAGUUAUAUAAUUCUAUCAGGAAUUGUUGAUGCUAGCUUCCAAGAAAAAUGCAUGUAUUCUGUUCACAUUAUGUUGAUGAUCUCAACGAGAGAGACGUGUUUCAUGCCACUGUAAUUGGAUAAUUUUUAAUUAUGGAUACACUCUGUAAUAUAGAGCCGUUAGUUAGGAAUUUUAUGUUUUGGUUUGAAAAGCAAUACAUGAAAGAGGCUUAUUAACACUUCUCUCAAGCAUAUAUGAGUAUGGAGGCACCGUGCUGGAAAUAAGUGUCCUUAAUGAUAUUCAAACCUGCCUUUUAGCUCACAUUAGAAUUUGAAAGGGCAACCAGAUUAUAUAGUAUUCAAAUAUGUCAUAUGUCACAUGAUUAUAUAGGAAUGAUGCUAGAGGCCUGUGUCAACUGAGUAUGGUAUCAGUGUCAGUGGGCUUUUUUUUUUGUGAUACACCACUAUUAACUUACAUAUGCUAGCUCUUAUUUCCCUGCUUUUUCCAAUAGGUUUUGUCAGCUUGACUAUCAGUUAUGAUAUUAAAUAAGCGAGUCGGAAUUCACUCAUAUGUAGUUGUCUAUCUGUUGCUAACUUUGUUGGUUUCACCAUAAAGUUAAGCUUUUUACUCAACUAGAUGAACAACUGAAGUUGGAGUGGCGUACGACGAGCUAAAAAGAACAACGGGGUCAAAGAGUUUUUUGAAUUCCCAUGAAAUGGGUAGUUACUGCUAAUUUUGAGAUUAUAAGUCGGAUGUUAAUUACUGUGACACCAGUUGCAACUGCUUUAUUUCUCCUAUUUUUUUUCAUGUUAGCUCAUUAUCAUGUUUAAAGUUUACCAAAGUAUUUCUUUUAUUCCUAUGGUGUACCAUUAAGAUCUCAAUUAUUUUCCUCUGAAGUGAUCUGGAAGAGUUGGGAGCUCAGGCCCUCUCGACCAUGGACACAAAGGUGAAAGACCUGUCGCUAACACCUUGAGGCCUUGUUCGGCACACAAGUUUUUCAGGGAUUAGAGUGUUUUAGUUGCCUCGGGACAGCACCAAAUCACUGCAAACGGCCGCAGAACCGUUCGGCAGGCCGGGUUUCUACCGGUUUUGAAGGGUCUGGCCUCCGUUAUUCUUACAAAACCUGCUAAUACACGUUUGAGUCAAAACGCUCGGCAGUGCUCAUACACGUUUGAAUCAAAACGCUCGGCAGUGCUCGCGUUUUUUUCUGGCCAGCUUGCUGUACGUUUUGUACCCUCCGAUUCCCAGCACAGGCGAAGAAACGCGCAGUCUAACAGGCCUGGGGCCCGAGCGCGCAUGUUGACAGUGCCUACGCAUGCAAAUUAAGCUAGCUGAAUCGGUGGCCUAGCUUAGCAAUUGCCCGAUCCCUGAGUGAACCCCGUGUUUUCACCUAAACCACUAGACAUAUCACACUCUAAUCCCUGCCUACCGAACAAGGCCUGACUGUGUGCUCAUCAGUUGGACCUCGCCACCUGACAGACUGGGCCAAGGAGGCAUUGGCAUGUUCACUUGGAAGGAAGAUGGCUCUGCGGUGUUACAACAUAGUUGUGGCACAAAUAAGCGAGCCCCUUGGUGUGUUGCGGCAGGUAAUGAAGCCACACAAUUCUGCUAGGUACGGAGAGAGAGUAACAGGGCAGCAGACUCCUUAGCUAGCCAAGCUAAAAAUCAUCAGGACAUUGAGGUCUGUCCUGGAAAUUGUCAUAAACAAUUGUGAAAUUGUGUCUUUUGAUAUAUAAAGUUCUUUUUCGCCUAAAAUAGAUUUUUUAGUCCAUCAAGGUAGAAAUUUGAUUUGAUGUCACUUAAAUUCUGUUAUCUUCAUAUUACAAGAUCACACACAUAUACAUGUCUAAAAUAGUUUAUUAUUUAUAAUUUGACAACCAUAGGUUCAUGCCACAUCCAUGUAAGAUUGGAGGCAAUAAGAAAUAAUAAGAAGUACCAAGUGAUAUCCUCCUAUCAGUUAACCACAAAUUAUAUUUGUUUUUAGUCUUGGUUCAGAUGAUAUGGUAACAAAAUGACACAAUUUAAGCUCAUUUGAGUUAACCGAAUAUACAAGUUCACAAUCAAUAUCUCGGUACAACAAUAGUACCAUAUUCGGUCAGUCAAUGUAGAGGAAUACUCCCUCCAACCCAGGGCUUAGGGCGUAAAAAUCUCAGCGCAAUAAUCAAGGAACUGUCUAAAGAUUAAUGUAGAGUAUAUACUUAGCUAGCCGAUUCUGUCCAAGUCAACUGAAGAUCUGACUAAAGUUUACUAAAGUUGGAUAUAUGUUGAAUAAACAAUUACCAGUUGUCCCAUUUCUGUGGCAUGGUGACAGACAGCAUUAAUUCAAUAUUGAAGAAAUAGCUAUGUUCGUUGUGCUGACAUUUCAUAAUCGAUUUGUGCUACAUGGAUGGACAAACAAGUGAACAGCCGUUUUAACCAUAAAGUACCUAUUUUGUUUUGGUUCCAGAUUACUCAGACGUACAUCAUUGUUAGAACCUGGAAGCUGAACAGAGAAAACCUCCAUUUCGGGCAUCCAACGUCCACACCAUGAGAGGGCAGUCUAACAAUUAAUGCACACAAUGUAGAGCUCACCUGUACAAGCACCAAUAGAGUGAGCAUGUCGAUGACCAUAAACGACCCUGCAAACAAACAACCCUCCGCACUCCCAUUUAGCAAGCCUCUUCUCCAAACCAACAGCCUCUAGGUACCAGGCCAAGGUCUACUUUUGAUUGCUAGCAGAACAACAACCAUAGUUGUUACGUGUGUUCUACUGUUCUACCACUCUGAUAAACUACUAGAUGCAGCAAACUCUAUUGGUGCGCCAAACCACUACCUGCUUGCACAUCACACACGUGCUGCUGACCGUGUUAUAUGUAAGAUAAAGAUGCAUUGUCUGUUUUUAUUGCCAGCAUUAGUCAUAUAUUUUGUGUUGAUUUGAAUUUAGUUCAGUUGAAUGCUAUGUUUAGUUCUUGUAGUAAAAUCAUUCUUUUAACUCAUGCAUCUCACCAAUCUAUAAUCCGAGAUGUCCGUUAGAGUUUUCAUAUAUAGCGGAGCCACAAGACAGGUGCGGCGUGCCGCCGCGCCCGACCCUUGC
Non-coding RNA from Lolium perenne, 6594 nucleotides. The record is from RefSeq and is a predicted model, not a curated record. Lineage: Eukaryota; Viridiplantae; Streptophyta; Magnoliopsida; Poales; Poaceae.